GCUUGGAGCUCACUGCUCUGACCUCCCAGCAUUCCCCACCAGAGGCCCAUCAUUUGCAGGACACACCUGAAGUUCUUAUUUGCCCAGCACCCCACCCUGGGUUUGAGUGACACACCCAUAUUCCCUAGAGAGCCCUUUCCCCUAGUCACAGCCCAUUUGUGCUUAGGGUAAGGUGGCCUUUCCUUCCCUCUGCCCUGGCUUCCAGGUUAGAUGGUCACAUGACCCAGGCUUAGCCAGAGCCCUUAAUGGCCUCUAGAAUUCGAACAUUCUGGAAAUAAGUUUCCUGACUGUCAGGAAAGCUGAUAAAGACACUUAUUUUUUUCGUUUCUACAAAGAAAUCCACUAGGCCUAGGUGUCUGGGCCAAGGUAGCUGUGUGUGGUGACUAACUGAGGGAGAGAGCACCCCACGGGCAGGCCAGAAGACACAGCCACGAGCCUCUGACCUCUCCAGGAAGGGCACCUGGUUCCCCAGCAUCCCAGACAACAGUCCCCUGUGUGGCUCCUGGUGUGAUGUGCACUAGGCCCAGAAGGACAUGGAGAGAAUGUGCACAGCCUUGUCCCGGCGCUGGAAAACAGAAGCUAACCUGUAAGCAACUAGAGGAUGUUUUCAGCUCGUGAGGAAGACUUAGCUUUUAAAAAGUAAAAAGCAGGAACAGGAAUAUGCCACCACACCUUGCUGGGAGCAGGGAUAACACGCCCAAAGAAAAGGGAUGAGCCGGGUCACUGAUCCUCACAAGGCCUGAAGAAGAGGUGGGACUCAUCACGAGGCCACAAAGAAAUACACAUUUUUUUUCUGGAGGUGGAUUUUCUGUUUGCUGAACAGAGCAGAUGGCUGUGCUUGAGAGGGGAAAGGAAAUUGCUAACCCUGUCCCCUGGCAUAGAAGAAAAAAUUGACGAAGUCACCAGGCUGGGCUCCAGCCCCUCUUCUGCAGCCUCAGCAGAUUUCUCUGCUGACACUCUGCCAUCAGAGAGUCUUUGAGGAGCACUGCCCCUGCUUCCCU
This 1001-nucleotide long non-coding RNA is filed under the name Mus musculus (house mouse). Its description in RNAcentral is "lincRNA-EC94". Lineage: Eukaryota; Metazoa; Chordata; Mammalia; Rodentia; Muridae. The record is from RNAcentral.